AAUUCGAAGCAACGCGAAGAACCUUACCAGGUCUUGACAUCCUCUGACAACCCUAGAGAUAGGGCUUUUGCCUUCGGGGACAGAGUGACAGAUGGUGCAUGGUUGUCGUCAGCUCGUGUCGUGAGAUGUUGGGCUAAGUCCCGCAACGAGCGCAACCCUUGAUCUUAGUUGCCAGCAUUCAGUUGGGCACUCUAAGGUGACUGCCGGUGACAAACCGGAGGAAGGUGGGGAUGACGUCAAAUCAUCAUGCCCCUUAUGACCUGGGCUACACACGUGCUACAAUGGACAGAACAAAGGGCUGCAAGACCGCAAGGUUUAGCCAAUCCCAUAAAUCUGUUCUCAGUUCGGAUCGCAGUCUGCAACUCGACUGCGUGAAGCUGGAAUCGCUAGUAAUCGCGGAUCAGCAUGCCGCGGUGAAUACGUUCCCGGGCCUUGUACACACCGCCCGUCACACCACGAGAG
This 462-nucleotide ribosomal RNA is filed under the name Bacillus safensis. Its description in RNAcentral is "bacterial SSU rRNA". It matches the Rfam family "Bacterial small subunit ribosomal RNA", at positions 948 to 1410 of the family's 1533-position model. Lineage: Bacteria; Bacillati; Bacillota; Bacilli; Caryophanales; Bacillaceae. The record is from RNAcentral.